AGUGAACGCUGGCGGCGUGCCUAACACAUGCAAGUCGAACGAUGAUGAUGGAGCUUGCUCUAUCUGAUUAGUGGCGCACGGGUGAGUAAUGCAUAGAUAAUGUGCCCCUUAGUUCGGGAUAGCCACUGGAAACGGUGAUUAAUACCGGAUACUCCUUCUUGUCUCAAGGCAAGUCGGGAAGGUUUUUCGCUAAGGGAUCAGUCUAUGUUCCAUCAGGUAGUUGGUGAGGUAAUGGCUCACCAAGCCUAUGACGGAUAUCUGGUUUGAGAGGAUGAUCAGACACACUGGAACUGAGACACGGUCCAGACUCCUACGGGAGGCAGCAGUGAGGAAUAUUGCACAAUGGAGGAAACUCUGAUGCAGCAACGCCGCGUGGAGGAUGACGCAUUUCGGUGUGUAAACUCCUUUUAUUAGGGAAGAUAAUGACGGUACCUAAUGAAUAAGCACCGGCUAACUCCGUGCCAGCAGCCGCCGUAA
RNAcentral lists this ribosomal RNA (477 nucleotides) under uncultured bacterium. RNAcentral's name for it is "partial 16S ribosomal RNA". It matches the Rfam family "Bacterial small subunit ribosomal RNA", at positions 29 to 523 of the family's 1533-position model. The record is from RNAcentral.